UGCAUGCCAGCGUGCCUGAGCCCCGGCGCUGUGGCGCUGGCCGGUGCCAUCAGAAGCCGGGAGGGGAACAGCAGUAAUGGCAGUGGUGAACCUGCCGCGCUCCUGGAGCCCGGCGAGCUCUGGGAUGAGGCCGGGAGCCGCGGGUCCGCGCACUCGGUGGGUUUUCCCUCUGCGCAGCCCCCGCACGGAUAGUUUAGGGGUUUGCUGAAUGUCCGGGGCUGUCUGCUGUGGGUUCUGUGCUCGCCGAGUCGUUCCCCUCGGGGACAGGACGUUCUUUCCGUCCUCCUGCGCAGCCGGAGUCUCGGGCUGCUGGAAUUCCAGCUGCUGGCUUGUUUCGAGCUCGGUCGCCUGGGAGCUUUGCUCUGAGGUGAAGCCAAGGCCAGAAGCGAAUCGAUGCCUCAUUCUAAUUUCUGCUGCGUUGCACAGAGCUGUCCCGCUCUUCACAGACGUUGUUUGGGUCCCUGUUACAACCUAAUCAUGCCGUAAACCGGUGCUGCAGCCCGGUGCUGGGUCUGGCGUCCAUCGGUCGUGCCCCACAGCUGCGGCCGCUCGCCCGAGCAGCCGCCCGUUCCCGUGUGGGCCGUUUGUUCCUAGGAAGCCGAGCUGAGGCCCGUCCGUGCUCGGUCAGGUUUGGAAGGAGUUUCUGCGUGUGAAGUGUGCUGUGCAGGUGGGCUUGUCGCACUCAGCAGCUGGAGACACCUUUUUGUUGAAUUUCCACAUUUCAAGGGGCAACUUGGGACUUCAAGUGGCGACUCUACUUGAGGGCUGCUUGUAGGAAGUAAAUAAAGCUGCCUGGCUAAUUUUCA
Long non-coding RNA from Columba livia (rock pigeon), 806 nucleotides. RefSeq lists it as uncharacterized. The transcript has 2 exons. NCBI's taxonomy places the organism in Eukaryota, Metazoa, Chordata, Aves, Columbiformes, Columbidae. The record is from RefSeq and is a predicted model, not a curated record.